This 480-nucleotide ribosomal RNA is filed under the name uncultured bacterium. RNAcentral's name for it is "partial 16S ribosomal RNA". It matches the Rfam family "Bacterial small subunit ribosomal RNA", at positions 28 to 523 of the family's 1533-position model. The record is from RNAcentral.
GACGAACGCUGGCGGCGUGCCUAACACAUGCAAGUCGAGCGAAUGAAGUUCCUUCGGGAAUGGAUUUAGCGGCGGACGGGUGAGUAACACGUGGGCAACCUGCCUCAUAGAGGGGAAUAGCCUUCCGAAAGGGAGAUUAAUACCGCAUAAGAUUGUAGUACCGCAUGAUACAGCAAUUAAAGGAGCAAUCCGCUAUGAGAUGGGCCCGCGGCGCAUUAGCUAGUUGGUGAGGUAACGGCUCACCAAGGCGACGAUGCGUAGCCGACCUGAGAGGGUGAUCGGCCACAUUGGGACUGAGACACGGCCCAGACUCCUACGGUAGGCAGCAGUGGGGAAUAUUGCACAAUGGGGGAAACCCUGAUGCAGCAACGCCUGGUGAGUGAUGACGGCCUUCGGGUUGUAAAGCUCUGUCUUCAGGGACGAUAAUGACGGUACCUGAGGAGGAAGCCACGGCUAACUACGUGCCAGCCGCCGCAGUAA